This 561-nucleotide unclassified non-coding RNA is filed under the name Hevea brasiliensis (rubber tree). Lineage: Eukaryota; Viridiplantae; Streptophyta; Magnoliopsida; Malpighiales; Euphorbiaceae. The record is from RNAcentral.
ACCAGAAAGCAAAGUUAGCAACUCCAUGGACCACCAUUUAAGACAAACCAUUACAGCAGAAGGGACUCCCAAGCGAAAGAACUCUCCAAUACCAAGAAAUGCAUCUCUCGAAAGUGGCGUUCGAGUUUUCUCGCAGUUUGAAGAGCACUUCACAUAAAAUCCAAGCAGAAAGACGUUUAGCCAAAUCGACAAACAGAAGGCUAAAGCUGCACCCUUGUAUCCUAGUUCUAGCUUAAAUAUGAAAGUCCAACAGGCAGUUGUAUGGAAAAAUAGAAUUAAAAGGGAGCUCAAAAGCAUUGGAAGAAUCACAGUUUGUGUCUGAAGAAAUCGAGUUAAAGGCUUAAGGAUUGCACUUCCAAACAGUGCAGGGAUUAGCCAUAUUGAGUAUUUGCAAGCUUCAUGUGAGAUUAAAGGGUCUUGCCCUAUGAGAGGAAGUAAUUUGUCCAUGAAAAUCCAGGGCAGGCAUAUUGGAGGGCAAAUCAUGACCAGAGAGAUUAUAGCAGAGUAAGUGUAGGUUCCAAGCUUGUGAUAUUGUUCAGCUCCAUAAGCUUGACCACAUAG